This is a non-coding RNA of Pocillopora verrucosa, 73 nucleotides long. Lineage: Eukaryota; Metazoa; Cnidaria; Anthozoa; Scleractinia; Pocilloporidae. The record is from the annotation of a RefSeq genome assembly.
GGUCCGUUAGCUCAGUCAAUAGAGCGUGGUGCUGAUAAGACCAAGGUCGUGAGUUCGAACCUCACACGGACCA